Molecule: ribosomal RNA, 253 nt
Filed under: uncultured bacterium
Lineage: Bacteria
Description: partial 16S ribosomal RNA
Rfam family: Bacterial small subunit ribosomal RNA
Source: RNAcentral
UACGUAGGGUGCGAGCGUUGUCCGGAAUUAUUGGGCGUAAAGCGCUCGCAGGUGGUCCGUCGCGUCGUGCGUGAAAGCCCCCGGCUCAACUGGGGAGGGUCACUCGAUACUGAUCGACUGGAAGGCAGGAGAGGGAAGCGGAAUUCCCGGUGUAGUGGUGAAAUGCGUAGAUAUCGGGAGGAACACCAGUGGCGAAGGCGGUUGCCUGGGGCUUUGCUGACGCUGAUGCGCGAAAGCGUGGGGAGCGAUCCGG